UGUUAAGUAAGCAGGUUCAGCAGUUUGC
Molecule: non-coding RNA, 28 nt
Filed under: Mus musculus (house mouse)
Lineage: Eukaryota; Metazoa; Chordata; Mammalia; Rodentia; Muridae
Source: RNAcentral